RNAcentral lists this long non-coding RNA (1811 nucleotides) under Sinocyclocheilus grahami. RNAcentral's name for it is "lncRNA (ENSSGRG00000026087.1)". Lineage: Eukaryota; Metazoa; Chordata; Actinopteri; Cypriniformes; Cyprinidae. The record is from RNAcentral.
AGCGAAUCCUACUAUCAGUAUGGAAUGGCUCAUGAAUAUUAAUCAAGGUAAGUGACUGGACGCUCACGGAAGGUUGCCAGGUUGCGUCAUCAAUGUCUCAUUAAUAUUCAUAAGAUGGGGCUUCGCCAUAGUGGGAAUCGAAAAUUCACUGUCAGCUCGGCCUGUGAUGAAUUGAAUAGGGAAGAAGGAGGAGGAGGAGGAGAAUCCAAUCCGGUUUGAGCAGGUUUUUGUUUCGGACGAGCGUUAACGUGUUCCUAUACUGUGUGAAUCCUUAACCGAGCUCAACACACAGUGUCGACUGGUUUUCAGCGUUAAAUCAGUGCAUCUUGCUUUUGUAACCGCUUUGAUUUUUGCGUGUUGUACAAACCCACAGCCAUGCCUAAAAGGAGCAAAGCGAACAAUGAUACUGAAGUCACUGAGGUAAGCAGAUCUCACUCCUUAUUGCAUAAAAAUAAAAUAAAUAUUUUAUUGCAUCAAAAUAAGGUACAUGUUUUAAACUUGUUAUUACUUUGCAGCCUAAAAGAAGGUCGGAGAGGUUGGUAAACGUGAGUAUUCAUGUUUUACUUUUAUAUAAAGUUCUCAUUCAUUCAACAGAUAUGGCAAUUAUUUAUAUUCUUUAUUUACUAAUUGAUGUUUUAUAACGUUUUCCUUGUUAGAAACCUGCACCCCAAAAGGCAGCGCCUAAGCCAAAGAAGGUGGCUGCCAAGCCUAAGAAAACAAAGGAACCCAAGGAGCCCAAGGAGGAGGAGAAGAAAGAGGAGGUGCCCGCAGAAAACGGAGAAACAAAAGCUGACGGAGAGGCAUCGGCAACAGAAGACGCCGACAAGAAGGGAGAAGACGGGGAAUAACUUUGCUGAGGUCUCAUCUUUUACCAGCACUCCCUGUACCUCUUUUCUUGUACAGUUCAGGGGAAUAUUUUUAUCUACUAUUUUCUAAAGGCAGGUUUUUUAGUAGUUUGAUUGUAGAGACACAUUUUUUAUGGAAGAAAAUAAACAUUUUGAAAGUGAUCUCAUCAUAUUCAUCGUUUUUACAUUGGGCAGAAAAAACUACCGUCAUCGUAAAUGUCGACAGGCUCUCUGCUCUCGCUUUCAAAGUGCGAGGUAGAGGGGAAGGUUGCAGGCAUGUCGUUUACACAGACAGCUGGACAUCUUACCGAGCUUGUCCGAAUGACUAACAUUCCAUUGGCUCUAUGAGGGAUUUUGUUUUUUUGUGUGUGUGUGUAACCUGUAAUGUGUGUUUGGGGAGGGAGGGAGGGGUGGGCAAAUAUCUCAUUGUUUAUAAGGCGAAAGAUUACUUGUAGAACGUUUGUAAGCUGUGUUCCAUAUGUUAACUGCAGUUCUCCAUAAUCAUUUCUGCUAAAUAAACAUAUUCUCUAGUACUGGAGUUCAUGUCAGGCCUGUGAUUCGUGUGUAUUGAUUUUGUCUCUUCUGUGAUAGUACCACAAUACAUUUGUAAAACUGCUGUGAAAAAGUUUUUGGGGGCUUUAAGUCCAGUUUGUGUUAUGGUACCAAUGGCAGACGUGGGAUGAAUAUCUCCACAAAGCCAGCAAUUCUUUAAUAUCCAAACACAUUAUUAAAAUGGAAAAUUUGAGACGAAUGAGUCAUUAUGUGUAAAAUCUUUUUAGUUGUAAAGCGUUCUGACCAGCAGUAGCAGUAUUUUUGUGGGACUUCGAUAUCAAGUAUAAAUGUACAGUUUCUUUUGAUCAUUGUUUAUAGAUGUAUCUCUGUGUGUUAUGGUUCAAGACAAUAAAAAAUCAGUUGUGAUACCCUGUUCUCCCUUUGAUUUUGAAGUUACAUUCAUUACUGUAGGUG